Numida meleagris (helmeted guineafowl) is the source of this 1450-nucleotide long non-coding RNA. The record is from Ensembl. Lineage: Eukaryota; Metazoa; Chordata; Aves; Galliformes; Numididae.
CCCCCCCAGUGCUUUGGAUAUAUUACCCCAAUCUAAAAAGAAAGCAAGAGCUUGUUUUUCAGCUGCUUUUUCAGCUAGGGCAGAUGGAAGUCUGCAAAGAGGCAGGCUCGCAUGCAGGAAAACAAGUCAGAUGCUACCUUGAAGUAGUCUGAUUAAAUUGCAUUGAAUCCCUGUGUGGGCACUUCAUCCAGCCAUAAAGUUGUUUAUCUUCUGUGACUUGCAAAAUAACUUAAAACUCUAUCACUUUGCUUCCAAAUUAGCGGAGUCUCAUCAGAGAACUCUAAAAAUGGUCAAAGAUCGUGUCACACUGUUAGGUAGUAUGGACAAGCUCUUCAUCACCAAUUGAGCCUUACGAGAAACGUCAUUAAAGUCAACUGAAGUUGUCAACCAUUGCAUGAGGGAGCUGGUGGCCUCAGUUUUUCUGAAGAAUAUUCCUGCAGCAUGCUUAAGGACCAAAUGGGUGAGGUUCUUCUGAUCAGAGGACAUCCUUGAGGAACACAAAACACUCUGGUUCUGAAAGCCCAGUUAUGCUAUCCAGGUUCUGUCCAGAAACCACGUCCUCAGUCUAGGGAUGGACCACUCUGACAUCCCAGAGAAACUGUGAAGCGGGAAUGGAACCUCACAGCAUCUGCAGAUUGCUCAGUGGCCAAAAUAAUAUGAACAUCUUUGAGGAAAUGAGAAGGAAGGGAAGGCAUCCCCACUGUCUUCCUCAUCAAUGGUGUUUUUUAGAGCAAUCUUUCUCCAGCCUCUCGAGUGGCAGAGGUAACUACCAGUUAAAGGAAAUGUCAGCAGGUCAUUUAAUGACUUUCCCUCUCUUCUAAGUGUUUGGCUCUUAAUUAUACAUAGAAAGAUACACAAGAGAUUAUAACAAGAGGAAUAGCAGGCAGCCAAAACCAAACUAAUUUAUUUAUUGCAUGUGACAUAUGGCAACAUAAGACAAGAUCUCUGGCUUAUGGGCAUUUUGGCAAGACACAGGCUGGAUCCUAUGGCAACGCCUUGUUUGUACAGCUUCCAUUUCUGCUGCUCAGUCCUGUUUUUUCUUUCAUGUCUCAUCUGUAGGCCUUCAAAGAGAGGACCUUAACCUUCCUUGGCUGGUUUUAACUUAGACAUUGCUUAGGCAUAUGCCCAUGGGUAAGAACCAUCCUGCUUCAAGGAGAUACAGCGUCUUAGAAAGCACUUUUGCCUGAAGUGUAAAUGGAGACAGUGAUGUUUACCUCUUUUAUCCACCUCAAAGUGUAGUGUGAGGGAUAGAUAAUGUUUUAAAGUGCCAUCUAAUUGUUGAGUGUUUUUCUUGUCAUCGGGUAAAGAACACAAGAGCAGCCAGUCUGGCUCAGAUCACCCCUCAACUUCCAACAUGGCCAAGACACUUGCCUUUACCCUUGUAUAGCCUUCAAUUGUUUCCCAUUGAGCCAAAAUAACAAUAAAUGGUUGCUUAUUCCUUUAACUGCCA